RNAcentral lists this ribosomal RNA (468 nucleotides) under uncultured bacterium. RNAcentral describes it as "partial 16S ribosomal RNA". It matches the Rfam family "Bacterial small subunit ribosomal RNA", at positions 28 to 507 of the family's 1533-position model. The record is from RNAcentral.
GACGAACGCUGGCGGCGUGCUUAACACAUGCAAGUCGAACGGAAAGGCCCUGCUUUUGUGGGGUGCUCGAGUGGCGAACGGGUGAGUAACACGUGAGUAACCUGCCCUUGACUUUGGGAUAACUUCAGGAAACUGGGGCUAAUACCGGAUAGGAGCUCCUGCUGCAUGGUGGGGGUUGGAAAGUUUCGGCGGUUGGGGAUGGACUCGCGGCUUAUCAGCUUGUUGGUGGGGUAGUGGCUUACCAAGGCUUUGACGGGUAGCCGGCCUGAGAGGGUGACCGGCCACAUUGGGACUGAGAUACGGCCCAGACUCCUACGGGAGGAAGCAGUGGGGAAUAUUGCACAAUGGGCGGAAGCCUGAUGCAGCAACGCCGCGGGCGGGAUGACGGCCUUCGGGUUGUAAACCGCUUUCGCCUGUGACGAAGCGUGAGUGACGGUAAUGGGUAAAGAAGCACCGGCUAACUACGUG